AGGGGUAUAGCUCAGUUGGUAGAGCAGCGGUCUCCAAAACCGCGUGCCGAGGGUUCAAAUCCUUCUACCCCUGCCA
RNAcentral lists this transfer RNA (76 nucleotides) under Clostridiales bacterium. Its description in RNAcentral is "tRNA-Trp". It matches the Rfam family "tRNA". From Rfam's summary of the family: Transfer RNA (tRNA) molecules are approximately 80 nucleotides in length. Their secondary structure includes four short double-helical elements and three loops (D, anti-codon, and T loops). RNAcentral also lists the same sequence under 1 other name. The record is from RNAcentral. Lineage: Bacteria; Bacillati; Bacillota; Clostridia; Eubacteriales.